Molecule: long non-coding RNA, 284 nt
Filed under: Elaeis guineensis (African oil palm)
Lineage: Eukaryota; Viridiplantae; Streptophyta; Magnoliopsida; Arecales; Arecaceae
Description: long non-coding RNA (EGUI_LNC066452)
Source: RNAcentral
ACUAAAAACUAUAAGCCUUAGUGAUUGAAAAAAAGAUAAAUUCAUGAUUAAAUUCUGAGUAUAGCUUAUCUUACUGAGCAUGAAUUAUAUCCUUAGAUCACAACUCAUCUUUAUAUAGUCAUAAAUUAUUCAAAAAUCUAUCUUAUGAAAUAAUGAAAACUACUACUUGAACACAUGAAUAAAAUCACAUAAACUAUUCAUGUUUGCUAAAUAUUCAAUAUUAUUUAAAAAAAAAAAUCUGAGAAUGUUCAAAUAGUUGAUUGCAUAAUAAAAAAAAUACACAA